AUUAAAUCAAUAGUAAACGACAGUUAAGAAGUAUUGUGACGAAAUCCAAUGUUCAAUUUAUUGAUCUUCGAACCCAAUCCGAUAUAUUUGUAUUGGUAUACUCGUUAAUCGAUUGAUAGACUGUUAUUCUGAAACCUCAACGGAGAUAGUAAUCUGCAUGUGCAUGAAUAAUCGAGAUAAUUCUGCUUCCCAUUUUUCCCAUGAUUCAUUGCCCAUACAUUUAUUACAAUUUCAAUACAUAUAUACACAAUACAUUGUUUUCAAGAAUUUUCCUGAAUAAUGCCAACCAUCCUGUUAAUGCCACUAUUUCGGUUCCCACCACACUAUCUCAUAAUUUUUAUCGAGUUUCAUAUGACGCAUGGUAAUAGCUAUUCCGAUUUUCUAAAGGUUUCCGUCACUAAUUACCCAACUGAAUGACAUGUUUUGUCCUGAAUAUUUCUCUCCGUAGAGAUACCCAGAAGAAAAUUCUGUUUUCCAACUUGUUCAAUUUUCCAUUUGAAUCAAAUCUUUAGUAGUAUCACGAAAAGAUAAUAAAAUCAGUAAAUCUCAGUAAGACUUAAUAUGUAGCAUCCUAUUUCUCAUAUACUUUAAAAAUAUUUUAUCUCAUUGCGGACGGUAAAACGCGUUUCUGACCUCGCUUCGCUGGGAUAAAAGCGCGUUUUCGGCCACAAUGACAUAAAAUAGCAUCAUAGCCAUGGCGGAAAAAAUAAUUCUGACUCAUGCGCGUUAUAAUCCUCGUCUCCGGCUCGGACUAUAAAAUCGCAUUCGUCAGAGUCCCUUUUUCCGUCCUAGGCGUGAAAUAUAUCAUUACCAGAAUUUAUAGAACAUAUUUAAAUAAGAAUACAAAGGUUCACAACCACAGGACUAAUGCCCUAGCGCUCUUAUUACCAAUAAUGCAUUCUUUCUUUAUCCACUCCGAAAAAACUUCGUAUAAACCAAAACCUUAAUCUGAAUGAAUUUUACGAUUUCAUAUUCUUUCAAUAGAAAACGGAAAGUCUUUCUGAUUUAAAACCCUCCAAUUUGAUAAAGUAAUAAAGGAAAGAGGAAUUUUGAUUUACGUUCGUGAUAACGAGUGCUCGGUUCUGCAUUAAUGUUUGCGGGGAUUUCCCAUGUGUCACAGGAUUACUAUAACCUGGGGAUGGGGUGAAAGUAGGUGGAAGACGAGGGGUAGAGAGACAGUUGCGCGUGUUGUACGUAACUAGGGUAAGUGUGCAACAGGUGCACAGGUGCUAGAGUGUAUGCGCCGCAAUAAAGUGCAAUUUUUCGAUUUGGAUUAUUUAAAAAUUAUUCAUCACAUCAAAGAUUGUAAACAAGGUUUACCACCAUCAGUUUUUUGUGGCGGACAGCUAGCACUGCAAAAUAUCAAAUGUUGCGACAAUAAACAAUGAUGAGAAAUAUUGUACAACGAUACUAUUGAAGAGAAUUGGAGUGUUUAAUAUUGGGCAGCCACUAGAGGAUGAUCUUCUGCUGCAUAUAUUCUCAUGAAUUUCCUCUAAAUUUCGCAUUUACUACCGAAAAGAAGUUCAAUAAAUUCCUUAAUGUGAAUAAUUACGCAUGUUAUCGUAAUAGAUAUGAUUAUUUCCUGCAGCAAUAUAAUUGGAAUAAAUGAAUGAUGACAUAGCGGGAUAAUGUGGAAUUAAAAGACGUAAUAGUUCUAUCAAAA
This is a long non-coding RNA of Fopius arisanus, 1663 nucleotides long. RefSeq lists it as uncharacterized. The record is from RefSeq and is a predicted model, not a curated record. NCBI's taxonomy places the organism in Eukaryota, Metazoa, Arthropoda, Insecta, Hymenoptera, Braconidae. The transcript has 3 exons.